CCUCUGAGAGGGGGAUAGCUUCUGGAAAACGGAUGGUAAUACCCUAUAACAUACAUAUGCCGCAUGACGUAUGUAUCAAAAGAUUUAUCACUCAGAGAUGGGCUCGCGUCUGAUUAGAUAGUUGGUGAGGUAACGGCUCACCAAGUCGACGAUCAGUAGCCGGACUGAGAGGUUGAACGGCCACAUUGGGACUGAGACACGGCCCAGACUCCGUACGGGAGGCAGCAGGUGGGGAAUAUUGCACAAUGGGGAAACCCUGAUGCAGCGAUGCCGCGUGGAGGAAGAAGGUUUUCGGAUUGUAAACUCCUGUCUUAAAGGACGAUAAUGACGGUACUUUAGGAGGAAGCUCCGGCUAACUACGUGCC
This 365-nucleotide ribosomal RNA is filed under the name uncultured bacterium. RNAcentral describes it as "bacterial SSU rRNA". It matches the Rfam family "Bacterial small subunit ribosomal RNA", at positions 129 to 509 of the family's 1533-position model. The record is from RNAcentral.